Molecule: ribosomal RNA, 2137 nt
Filed under: Atyloella tribinicuspidata
Lineage: Eukaryota; Metazoa; Arthropoda; Malacostraca; Amphipoda; Pontogeneiidae
Description: partial 18S ribosomal RNA
Rfam family: Eukaryotic small subunit ribosomal RNA
Source: RNAcentral
GCCAUGCAUGUCAAAGUCCAAGCUGUGUGUGGGGGUGCAAGCUCUUACACAUGGCGAAACCGCGGACGGCUCAUUAAAUCAGUCGUGGUCCAAAUGGGCUAGUGUUAUCUUACUUGGAUAACUGUGGUAAUUCCAGAGCUAAUACAUGCAACUGAAAGUCCGAUCGGUGUGUGUGUAAGCACACACUGUGACGGCUGCUUUUAUUAGACCAAACCGCUGAGUUAGAGUUGGCUACGUAGCCCUCUCUAUAAGACUCGUGUUAUGGUGACUCUGAAUAACACCUUUUGACAAGCGCACGUAUCCAUUUGUAUGGGACGGCGCUGCCACUUUCGAGUGUCUGCCUUAUCAGCUAUGAAUCGUUCGUUAUGUGCGUACGAUGGCUUUGACGGGUAACGGGGAAUCAGUGUUCGAUUCCGGAGAGGCAGCCUGAGAAACGGCUACCACGUCCAAGGACGGCAGCAGGCACGCAAAUUACCCAAUCCCAGCACCUGGGGGAGGUAGUGACGGAAUAUAACGAUGCGGGCGCCCCUUCUGGGGCCCCGCAAUCGGAAUGAGCAUUUUCUUUCUAAACACCCUGUUGAGAACCUACUGAAGGGCAAGUCUGGUGCCAGCAGCCGCGGUAAUUCCAGCUUCAGCAGCAUCUAUUAAAGUUGCUGCGGUUAAAAGGCUCGCAGUUGAAUGUCAGUGCAAAGUGCAGCGAUGGUGGACGUUGGAGUGUGUUGUUGAGUGUUUCUCCUCGGUGGUUUCCUUGUGUCUCUGCCUUGGUGUAUUCAUUCACUGCGCGUCUAUAGCUCCCGUCCGUAAACAGCCUCCUCACUGUCGUACAAUGUUUGUAAAUGGUUAUGAUGGAAAUGGAACGUUAAAGGGUGAUUGGGUGUGUGUGUGUUGUGCGUUGGUUAAUUCUUUCGCGCGCGCGCGCUCGCUUUUUCUCUCCUUGUCCCUGAUUACAGCAUGUUUUCAAAGUCACCUUGAGUAAAUCAGAGUGCUCAGAGCAGUCGUAAGGAAUGUGUUGCGUUCGCGCGUAGCACGUUCUGUGAUGAAUGUCAAUUGACAGACGGACUUGGUUUUGCAUGGUAUGUCGAAAGACGCCGUAUUUCCUGUUGGUUACGAGUCUAACGCGGGCUUGCAGUUCUCUUAGAGUUUCUCACUAUUGUGAGUUUCUCAACAUAGAGUCUGUGACAUAUGAGACCAACAGGUGCGGAAUGAUUAAGAGGAACUGUCGAAGGUAUUGGUAUUGCGAGGCGAGAGGUGAAAUUCUAUGACCCCCGCAAGACCUCCUAAAGCGAAAGCGUCUGCCAAGGAUGUUUUCAUAAUCACCAGGCGUGGAGCCUGCGGCUUAAUUUGACUCAACACGGGCCAUCUCACCAGGCCAGCACUCUUGUACGAUUGACAGAUUGAAAGUUCUUUCUCGAUUCAGUGGAUGGUGGUGCAUGGCCGUUCUUAGUUGGUGGAGUGAUCUGUCUGGUUAAUUCCGAUAACGAACGAGACUCUCCCCUGCUAAAUAGUCGGUUGGAUUUUGCGUCUGAGAGUUGUGAGUGCACAUGCUGUGAUUCUCGUGUUCGUGAGGUGUAUUCGUAUGCCGAGCGUGUGCGGGUUUUUCUGUGUGUGUUACUUGCACUCCAAGUCCGCCGCUUACUUGCACAAGUGAUGUGUAACAGCAAAGCUAUAUGAGUAAAACUCUUCUUAGAGGGAUUCACGGUUCUGAAACCGUAAGAAACUGAGAGCAAUAACAGGUCUGUGAUGCCCUUAGAUGUUCUGGGCCGCACGCGCGCUACAAUGCCGGGCUCAGCAGGUGUCUAUCCUUCUCCGAUAGGAGUGGGUAACCCUCUGAAAGCCCUUUAAACAAUUUAUAAAAGAGUUCGUGUGCUUUUUAGUGCGCGUUCUCUUCCUUGGCUUGCUUGGGCCUGGGGCUUGCAAUUCUUUCCCACAAACGAGGAAUGCCUAGUAGCGGCGGAUCACUGAGUUCGCUGUGACUCAGUCCCUGCCCUUUGUACACACCGCCCGUCGCUACUACCGAUUGGGUGUACCAGUGAGAUCCUUGGACUGGCGAGCCUUGUACCCUAGCAAUAGAGUUCAAGUGUGUACGACGGGAAGAGGCUCGAACUGGUGCACUUAGAGGAAGUAAAAGUCGUAACAA